GACGGAGGAUGCAAGUGCUAUCCGGAAUCACUGGGCGUAAAGCGUCUGUAGGUGGUUCGAAAAGUCCACUGUUAAAAAAUUGAGGCUUAACUUCAAAGAUGCCGUGGAAACUUUCAAACUAGAGUAUGGUAGGGGUAGAGGGAAUUUCCAGUGGAGCGGUGAAAUGCGUAGAUAUCAGGAGGAACACCGGUGGCGAAGGCGGCGAUCUGGGUCGAUACUGACGCUGAGGUGCGAAAGCGUGGGGAGCAAACAGG
RNAcentral lists this ribosomal RNA (254 nucleotides) under uncultured bacterium. RNAcentral's name for it is "partial 16S ribosomal RNA". It matches the Rfam family "Bacterial small subunit ribosomal RNA", at positions 524 to 776 of the family's 1533-position model. The record is from RNAcentral.